GAAAAGAAGAAGCACCCCGCUUCUCACCUGAUUGACGCUGAAAGCAGUUGGCAGGUUUUAUGUGAACUUUUUCGUUUAUUACUUUGUUCAUAAAGUGCGGGUGCAGUCAUCCGCACUUUUUUAUUU
Molecule: small RNA, 126 nt
Filed under: uncultured Neobacillus sp.
Lineage: Bacteria; Bacillati; Bacillota; Bacilli; Caryophanales; Bacillaceae
Description: Ribosomal protein L20 leader
Rfam family: Ribosomal protein L20 leader
About the family: This family is a putative r-protein leader autoregulatory structure found in B. subtilis and other low-GC Gram-positive bacteria.
Source: RNAcentral